This is a microRNA precursor of Danio rerio (zebrafish), 87 nucleotides long. Lineage: Eukaryota; Metazoa; Chordata; Actinopteri; Cypriniformes; Danionidae. The record is from Ensembl.
GUUGUGUGACGGUCAGCUUUGCGGGGUGGGCAGUCAGCCUCCGUGUGGCCGCUGUGCAAACCCAUGCAAAACUGAGCGCUGCGCUAC